Molecule: ribosomal RNA, 422 nt
Filed under: uncultured bacterium
Lineage: Bacteria
Description: bacterial SSU rRNA
Rfam family: Bacterial small subunit ribosomal RNA
Source: RNAcentral
GACGAACGCUGGCGGCAUGCUUUACACAUGCAAGUCGAACGGCAGCACAGCAGAGGUAACUCUGUGGGUGGCGAGUGGCGAACGGGUGAGUAAUACAUCGGAACGUACCCUGUUGUGGGGGAUAACUACGCGAAAGCGUAGCUAAUACCGCAUACGCCCUGAGGGGGAAAGCGGGGGACCCUAAAUAGAGCGCACUGGGGAGUGCGUUGUAUUUAGGGCCUCGCGCAAUAGGAGCGGCCGAUGUCGGAUUAGCUAGUUGGUGAGGUAAAGGCUUACCAAGGCGACGAUCCGUAGCUGGUCUGAGAGGAUGAUCAGCCACACUGGGACUGAGACACGGCCCAGACUCCUACGGGAGGCAGCAGUGGGGAAUUUUGGACAAUGGGGGCAACCCUGAUCCAGCCAUGCCGCGUGAGUGAAGAAGG